GACCCUAUGGCUCAGUUGGUAGAGCAUGGUGUUUGCAUCGCCAGCAUGGUGUGUGCAACGCCAGGGUUGUGGGUUCGAUUCCCACGGGGGGCC
Non-coding RNA from Salmo salar (Atlantic salmon), 93 nucleotides. Lineage: Eukaryota; Metazoa; Chordata; Actinopteri; Salmoniformes; Salmonidae. The record is from Rfam.